RNAcentral lists this ribosomal RNA (1464 nucleotides) under uncultured Klebsiella sp. RNAcentral's name for it is "bacterial SSU rRNA". It matches the Rfam family "Bacterial small subunit ribosomal RNA". The record is from RNAcentral. Lineage: Bacteria; Pseudomonadati; Pseudomonadota; Gammaproteobacteria; Enterobacterales; Enterobacteriaceae.
AUUGAACGCUGGCGGCAGGCCUAACACAUGCAAGUCGAGCGGUAGCACAGAGAGCUUGCUCUCGGGUGACGAGCGGCGGACGGGUGAGUAAUGUCUGGGAAACUGCCUGAUGGAGGGGGAUAACUACUGGAAACGGUAGCUAAUACCGCAUAACGUCGCAAGACCAAAGUGGGGGACCUUCGGGCCUCAUGCCAUCAGAUGUGCCCAGAUGGGAUUAGCUAGUAGGUGGGGUAACGGCUCACCUAGGCGACGAUCCCUAGCUGGUCUGAGAGGAUGACCAGCCACACUGGAACUGAGACACGGUCCAGACUCCUACGGGAGGCAGCAGUGGGGAAUAUUGCACAAUGGGCGCAAGCCUGGUGCAGCCAUGCCGCGUGUGUGAAGAAGGCCUUCGGGUUGUAAAGCACUUUCAGCGGGGAGGAAGGCGGUGAGGUUAAUAACCUCAUCGAUUGACGUUACCCGCAGAAGAAGCACCGGCUAACUCCGUGCCAGCAGCCGCGGUAAUACGGAGGGUGCAAGCGUUAAUCGGAAUUACUGGGCGUAAAGCGCACGCAGGCGGUCUGUCAAGUCGGAUGUGAAAUCCCCGGGCUCAACCUGGGAACUGCAUUCGAAACUGGCAGGCUAGAGUCUUGUAGAGGGGGGGUAGAAUUCCAGGUGUAGCGGUGAAAUGCGUAGAGAUCUGGAGGAAUACCGGUGGCGAAGGCGGCCCCCUGGACAAAGACUGACGCUCAGGUGCGAAAGCGUGGGGAGCAAACAGGAUUAGAUACCCUGGUAGUCCACGCCGUAAACGAUGUCGAUUUGGAGGUUGUGCCCUUGAGGCGUGGCUUCCGGAGCUAACGCGUUAAAUCGACCGCCUGGGGAGUACGGCCGCAAGGUUAAAACUCAAAUGAAUUGACGGGGGCCCGCACAAGCGGUGGAGCAUGUGGUUUAAUUCGAUGCAACGCGAAGAACCUUACCUGGUCUUGACAUCCACAGAACUUUCCAGAGAUGGAUUGGUGCCUUCGGGAACUGUGAGACAGGUGCUGCAUGGCUGUCGUCAGCUCGUGUUGUGAAAUGUUGGGUUAAGUCCCGCAACGAGCGCAACCCUUAUCCUUUGUUGCCAGCGGUUCGGCCGGGAACUCAAAGGAGACUGCCAGUGAUAAACUGGAGGAAGGUGGGGAUGACGUCAAGUCAUCAUGGCCCUUACGACCAGGGCUACACACGUGCUACAAUGGCAUAUACAAAGAGAAGCGACCUCGCGAGAGCAAGCGGACCUCAUAAAGUAUGUCGUAGUCCGGAUUGGAGUCUGCAACUCGACUCCAUGAAGUCGGAAUCGCUAGUAAUCGUAGAUCAGAAUGCUACGGUGAAUACGUUCCCGGGCCUUGUACACACCGCCCGUCACACCAUGGGAGUGGGUUGCAAAAGAAGUAGGUAGCUUAACCUUCGGGAGGGCGCUUACCACUUUGUGAUUCAUGACUGGGGUGA